RNAcentral lists this ribosomal RNA (253 nucleotides) under uncultured bacterium. RNAcentral describes it as "partial 16S ribosomal RNA". It matches the Rfam family "Bacterial small subunit ribosomal RNA", at positions 524 to 776 of the family's 1533-position model. The record is from RNAcentral.
UACGUAGGGUGCAAGCGUUGUCCGGAAUUAUUGGGCGUAAAGAGCGUGUAGGCGGCCCGAUUAGUCCGCUGUGAAAGUCCAGGGCUCAACCCUGGAAUGCUGGUGGAUACUGUCGGGCUAGAGUCCGGAAGGGGCGAGUGGAAUUCCUGGUGUAGCGGUGAAAUGCGCAGAUAUCAGGAGGAACACCAAUGGCGAAGGCAGCUCGCUGGGACGUGACUGACGCUGAGACGCGAAAGCGUGGGGAGCAAACAGG